Molecule: ribosomal RNA, 538 nt
Filed under: Escherichia coli
Lineage: Bacteria; Pseudomonadati; Pseudomonadota; Gammaproteobacteria; Enterobacterales; Enterobacteriaceae
Description: bacterial SSU rRNA
Rfam family: Bacterial small subunit ribosomal RNA
Source: RNAcentral
AAAUUGAAGAGUUUGAUCAUGGCUCAGAUUGAACGCUGGCGGCAGGCCUAACACAUGCAAGUCGAACGGUAACAGGAAACAGCUUGCUGUUUCGCUGACGAGUGGCGGACGGGUGAGUAAUGUCUGGGAAACUGCCUGAUGGAGGGGGAUAACUACUGGAAACGGUAGCUAAUACCGCAUAACGUCGCAAGACCAAAGAGGGGGACCCUCGGGCCUCUUGCCAUCGGAUGUGCCCAGAUGGGAUUAGCUUGUUGGUGGGGUAACGGUUCACCAAGGCGACGAUCCCUAGCUGGUCUGAGAGGAUGACCAGCCACACUGGAACUGAGACACGGUCCAGACUCCUACGGGAGGCAGCAGUGGGGAAUAUUGCACAAUGGGCGCAAGCCUGAUGCAGCCAUGCCGCGUGUAUGAAGAAGGCCUUCGGGUUGUAAAGUACUUUCAGCGGGGAGGAAGGGAGUAAAGUUAAUACCUUUGCUCAUUGACGUUACCCGCAGAAGAAGCACCGGCUAACUCCGUGCCAGCAGCCGCGGUAAUACGG